This 253-nucleotide ribosomal RNA is filed under the name uncultured bacterium. RNAcentral's name for it is "partial 16S ribosomal RNA". It matches the Rfam family "Bacterial small subunit ribosomal RNA", at positions 524 to 776 of the family's 1533-position model. The record is from RNAcentral.
UACGGAGGGGGCUAGCGUUGUUCGGAAUUACUGGGCGUAAAGCGCACGUAGGCGGAUCAGCAAGUUAGGGGUGAAAUCCCGGGGCUCAACCCCGGAACUGCCUUUAAAACUGUUGGUCUGGAGGUCGAGAGAGGUGAGUGGAAUUCCGAGUGUAGAGGUGAAAUUUGUAGAUAUUCGGAGGAACACCAGUGGCGAAGGCGGCUCACUGGCUCGAUACUGACGCUGAGGUGCGAAAGCGUGGGGAGCAAACAGG